UCCCUUGUGGUCCAGUGGUUAAAACUCUGUGCUCCCAAUGCAGGAGCCCAGGUUCAAUCCCUGGUCAGGGAA
Molecule: transfer RNA, 72 nt
Filed under: Ovis aries (sheep)
Lineage: Eukaryota; Metazoa; Chordata; Mammalia; Artiodactyla; Bovidae
Rfam family: tRNA
About the family: Transfer RNA (tRNA) molecules are approximately 80 nucleotides in length. Their secondary structure includes four short double-helical elements and three loops (D, anti-codon, and T loops).
Source: Rfam by way of RNAcentral